RNAcentral lists this ribosomal RNA (1747 nucleotides) under Helicoprorodon maximus. RNAcentral's name for it is "LSU rRNA". It matches the Rfam family "Eukaryotic large subunit ribosomal RNA", at positions 23 to 1874 of the family's 3401-position model. Lineage: Eukaryota; Ciliophora; Litostomatea; Haptorida; Helicoprorodontidae. The record is from RNAcentral.
ACCCGCUGAACUUAAGCAUAUCAGUAAGCGGAGGAAAAGAAAUUAACAAAGAUUGCCAUAGUAAAGGCGAUUGAAGUGGCAAAAGCUCAAAAUUGAAAUUGGGAAUUCAAGGAAUUCUCGAAUUGUAAUCUAAAGUGGUUUGCCUAAAUACAGAAAGGUUCUUAAGUUUUCUUGAAUGAAACGCCAAAGAGGGUAGAAGUCCCGUAAAGUUCCAAUCUGAUGUAAGGUAAACUAUCAAUGAGUCGGGCUGCUUGGGAUUGCAGCCUUAAGAUGGGAGGUAAAUUUCUUCCAAAGCUAAAUAUGGAUGGGAGACCGAUAGCGAACAAGUACUGUGAAGGAAAGAUGAAAAGAACUUUGAAAAGAGAGUGAAAAGAUCUGAAAUCGUUGAGGAGGAAGCGGUAGAAACUAGAUGCUGCUAUGAUAUCGGUACACAGCAAAAACUGUGGAACUUAUUCAAUGCAGCGUGCCAAAUGAAGUCUAAUACAUCAAGAAUUAAGGAUGUAAUAGGCUUGAGGGACUAUUGUGAUUUGGCUGAAAUGGUUUUUACUGUCCCGUCUUGAAACACGGAUCAAGGAGUCUAACAUAUAUGCGAGUGUGCUAGUGGUAAAACUAAUACGCAAAAUGAAAGUGAAAGGUGCGAAGCUUUAUAGCAGCAGCAUCGACCAACCUUACGGGGUUUGAGUACGAGCAUAUCUGUUAGGACCCGAAAGAUGGUGAACUAUGCCUGAGUAGGGUGAAGUCAGGGGAAACCCUGAUGGAGGCUCGAAGCGAUGCUGACGUGCAAAUCGCUCGUCAAACUUGGGUAUAGGGGCGAAAGACUAAUCGAACCAUCUAGUAGCUGGUUCCCUCCGAAAUUUCUCUCAGGAUAGCUGGAACAGAAAUGCAGUUUUAUCAGGUAAAGCGAAUGAUUAGAGGAAUCGGGACUCUUUUGUCUUGACCUAUUCUCAAACUUUAAAUUGGUAAGAUCUUUUGGUUAUCUUAAUUGAACUGAAAGGAAAAAUGUAUGUUCCGUGUGGGCCAUUUUUGGUAAGCAGAACUGGCGAUGAGGGAUGCUCCUAGCGUUGGGUUAAGGCGCCUAACUGUACACUCAUCAGAUACCAUAAAAGGUGUUGAUUCAUCUAAACAGCAGGGCGGUGAACAUAAAAGUCGUUAUCCGCCAAGGAGUGUGUCAUGACUCACCUGCCGAAUGAAUUAGCCCUGAAAAUGAAUGGCGCUCAAGUGUACGGCUAAUACUCAACCAUCAGCACAAAAGGUAGUGCUGAUGAGUAGGAGGGCGUGGACGUUGUGAGAAGCCUUUGGCGUGAGCUUGGGUGGAACAUCGUCUAGUGCAGAUCUUGGUGGUAGUAGCAAAUAUUCAAAUGAGAACUUUGAAGGCCGAAGUGGAGAAGGGUUCCCUGCGAACAGUAAUUGGUCAGGGGUCACUCGAUCCUAAGGCUUUGGUUAGCUCUGUAUAAAGUGCUCUCCAGCACAAGCCGAAAGGGAAUCAGGUUGAUAUUCCUGAAGCUGGGGUGGUUUAAUGGCAACAUAAACCGGCUCAGAGACGCCAGUACGUACUCCUGGAAGAGUUUUCUUUUCUUUUUAACAAGCAAAUGACCUUGAAAUUGGAUUAUCCAGAGAGAAGGUUAUAAGCUUGGAAGAGCACCGCGCUUUUUAGUGGUGUCAGGUGCGUUCGUAAUGGCCCUUGAAAAUCUGAGCGAGAAGAAUGCACCCCGGGUCGUACCCAUAACCGCAUCAGGUCUCCAAGGUU